CUGUGACCGUCGGACUGUGUGGACGCAUUCACAAGUUCGUGCCAACCGUCCUUCAAGGAUCAUUUUCCAUUUUACAGAAGGAACUCGUAAUGGCAUGAUUUCGAGGAAUGCUGCAUAUAGUCAAUGGACCAGCGAUAGAAGCUUCGAUCAUGCACAAUACAGACGAACAACCACGGGAGCAACUGCGGACUAAACUUAGGCAUCUAAAUAUAACUGAAUCCGUAAAUAACCAAGCACAUUUAUCUCAUUCCAGUAAUGAAUUUAACAACUUUCAAAGCGAACACUUCCCUCGUGUUCAUGGAAUACUUUCAACUCCUCCCGAGAAUCCAAAUGAUUUAAGAUUUGUUCCGUGUAACGAGUUAGAAGUCUUUCGAAGUUCGAAUCUUUCACUUCGAUGGCGGCGGGUUUAGAUGGAAAUCCUCUAAAAUUCAAAAAAUUGAUUUUACCCUUCAUUAUUAUUACACUUGAUUCCAACAUUAUAGUUUCCUUGUUCGUGGAAAGUAUCAAAAGUUACUCCAAUUGCAAAGAAAAAGCCUAGAAAUAAACCUUUAAAUUAUUUACGUCCUUUCAGCAUACUUUGUGUUUUAUCUAAGGCUUUUGAAAAGAUUGCCAUAAAAAAAAACAAAUGUAAAAGCUCAUAAAUGCUUUCAACCUGCUUACUUUGUAUCAAUCAGGGUCAUAGGACCACCCCCCGAGUCGGCGUCAAGUAAUUUUUCCGAAUGGGUAGUGAGAAAUGGGUGACAAAGGCGUAGCCGGACCAACUGAUACCUGAAAAUAAUUUUUCGGAAAAUCGA
Long non-coding RNA from Wyeomyia smithii (pitcher-plant mosquito), 794 nucleotides. RefSeq lists it as uncharacterized. The record is from RefSeq and is a predicted model, not a curated record. The transcript has 3 exons. NCBI's taxonomy places the organism in Eukaryota, Metazoa, Arthropoda, Insecta, Diptera, Culicidae.